Molecule: ribosomal RNA, 577 nt
Filed under: uncultured bacterium
Lineage: Bacteria
Description: bacterial SSU rRNA
Rfam family: Bacterial small subunit ribosomal RNA (bases 1-516)
Source: RNAcentral
CCUACGGGAGGCAGCAGUGGGGAAUCUUGCGCAAUGGGCGAAAGCCUGACGCAGCCAUGCCGCGUGUAUGAUGAAGGUCUUAGGAUUGUAAAAUACUUUCACCGGUGAAGAUAAUGACUGUAGCCGGAGAAGAAGCCCCGGCUAACUUCGUGCCAGCAGCCGCGGUAAUACGAAGGGGGCUAGCGUUGCUCGGAAUUACUGGGCGUAAAGGGAGCGUAGGCGGACAUUUAAGUCAGAGGUGAAAUCCCGGAGCUUAACUUCGGAACUGCCUUUGAUACUGGGUGUCUUGAGUGUGAGAGAGGUAUGUGGAACUCCGAGUGUAGAGGUGAAAUUCGUAGAUAUUCGGAAGAACACAGUGGCGAAGGCGACAUACUGGCUCAUUACUGACGCUGAGGCUCGAAAGCGUGGGGAGCAAACAGGAUUAGACUACCCUGGUAGUCCACGCCGUAAACGAUGAUUGCUAGUUGUCGGGAAGCUUGCUUCUCGGUGACGCAGCUAACGCAUUAAGCAANCGCGNGGNGAGNGNGAGAUAAUANAAGAAGUUAGAGNGNGAGAGNGCGAGACGACGAGAGGAGAG